AAUGUUUUCAUUUUAAUGUUUAUUUUUACAUUCAUCUUUAAAAAAUUAUGAUUUUUUUUUCCAGUAUAUUAUACAUAACCAUCUAUUCACCUAAAAAAAUAUAUAUAUGUAAUGGAUGAUGUCCUGUUAUAAUGACAAAAUAACAAAGCAGGGGUUUCUUAUCACCCUGAAGGAGUUUAUUACAAAGAGUAAACAGAAUAGAGUUUAUAAACAAACUGGCUGUACAUUAUCACUAAAUAGAAAAUAAAUACUGAUUCAAGCUGAAAUUAUUUCAUUACGUGAAAAAAAGAAAACAAAUAGACCCCAGAGUGAUAUGAAAUACAUGAAACUAGCACAGCUACUGUAAAAAAUUUCUGUAAAUUUACAGCAUAUUAACAGCGUAAAUAUACAGUACUGAACUGUUUUCUAAAAUUACGGUGUCUUACCGUAAAUGCACACGUGAUCGGUGGGAGAGGGGGAACCAAAGGCUAGCUGACGCAUGGAGGAGAAUGGAUUCAGUCAAAGUUUUAUGGAUUUCAUCUCAAGUUGAGGCUCAUUUACAGGUAAGCAGAUCAAAGUCUGAAUACAUUUUUGUCUUAAACUGCAGCGUUUUUUUAAUGUGGGCACAAUAUUUUAAUUUACCUUUGACAAAUUUUGCCAAGACGGUGAACUAGCAUGUAUGCAAUUUUUACAAAUUUCUCCUGAAAGUUAAGUGUGUAUGUGUGUGUUUGUGAAUGAUUUGCAUCGUAUUUUUUUUCUUUCCUGGUGUAAAAUCCUGUAAAUGUUAAACUUGUAAAUAGUUAAAUAUAAAAUACUUGCGUUCGCUGAUUAUUUCAUUGGAUAUGAAUUGAACAUAUUCGGCAACGGUAGAAGAUGAGCACAUGAUCGGUGGGGGAGGGGAGCAACGGUUAGCGUCUGAUACCAGAGAAAAAGCAUCAUCAGUCUCAGUGAAUAAAACGGAUAUUAUCUCAAAUAUAAUCUCGAUUACAGAUUGCAGAUAACGAGGAUAUGAAGAACAUGAAGAUGGACUGGUUUCACAUGCAGAUGUUGCAGCAUCUGCAUCUGAUGUUGAGAAGACACUCAAUCUACCUGCCAAUCCUCAUCAGAUUUUGCUGGUGUCCAGUCAACAUUUUUGACUGCAGUUGCAACAGUGUUUGCUGUGUACUACAUCUUCAACCUGCAGUAUCAAGAGGCGGCUUGUUGCACGUUAGAAUUUUUUCAAAGUUUUUUCAGUUCAUCAUCUGAAACACUGUCAAAUGUGGUUUUAUUCGCAUGCCAGACACGGAGAAAAUAGGAGAAAGGCAUGUAGAUCCACAUUAAAUC
This 1302-nucleotide long non-coding RNA is filed under the name Carassius auratus (goldfish). RNAcentral's name for it is "lncRNA (ENSCARG00000013702.1)". The record is from RNAcentral. Lineage: Eukaryota; Metazoa; Chordata; Actinopteri; Cypriniformes; Cyprinidae.